UGUUAUUAUAGAUCAGUUACAUUUCAGAUCACUACUGUAAAGUGAAUUUUGCUAUAAAGCAAAUCAGCUUUUUUUUUUCAUUUUUCUAAUGCAUAUAAAAGCCAAAAAGUAUAUUUUCAUUAUUAUUAAAUGCACAAUAGCAUUAGGCUUAAAAAUUCUGCUGGAUGGGUGCAUGGUGUAAAGCAUUCAUAUACCACCUUGGAGGAUUCAGGUUUGGUUCUGAAUCUCACCUCACACUUUCAGUUUUUCAGGACAAUUCCAGACCCAGCCCAUCUUUGUUAUAAUUUAUGUUUAUAUGUAUAUCUCUCUGUUCUAAGUAUUAUUCUGCAGACAAUUUUCCUAUUGAGAUAUAUAAUAAUAUAAAAAUAUGGAAUAUAAUUGAGA
RNAcentral lists this long non-coding RNA (384 nucleotides) under Androctonus crassicauda. Lineage: Eukaryota; Metazoa; Arthropoda; Arachnida; Scorpiones; Buthidae. The record is from RNAcentral.